This is a long non-coding RNA of Daphnia magna, 138 nucleotides long. RefSeq lists it as uncharacterized. The transcript has 2 exons. Lineage: Eukaryota; Metazoa; Arthropoda; Branchiopoda; Diplostraca; Daphniidae. The record is from RefSeq and is a predicted model, not a curated record.
AUUACCGUAAUGCUUUCGAAGAUCGCGAAAUUUUCUACAGAUUAUUCUAAUCUUCCUGAAUCCUAUAUUAAACGAGCGAUGAGACAAGUUUAUUGGGAAGCACCAAGAGAUUUGCCACAAUAUCUGCCUGUAACUCUA